Molecule: ribosomal RNA, 430 nt
Filed under: uncultured soil bacterium
Lineage: Bacteria
Description: bacterial SSU rRNA
Rfam family: Bacterial small subunit ribosomal RNA
Source: RNAcentral
AGGACGAACGCUGGCGGCGUGCUUAACACAUGCAAGUCGAGCGAGGUCCAAGGAGUGGCAACACUCCGGAAGACCUAGCGGCGAACGGGUGAGUAACACGUGAGGAACCUGCCCCAGAGACCGGGAUAACCCUCCGAAAGGAGAGCUAAUACCGGAUGCCGUCAUCGGAUCGCAUGGUCUGAUGACGAAAUGGAUUCCGCUCUGGGAGGCCUCGCGGCCUAUCAGCUUGUUGGUGAGGUAACGGCUCACCAAGGCGUCGACGGUAGCUGGUCGUGAGAGGACGAUCAGCCACACGUGGGACUGAGACACGGCCAGACUCCGUACGGGAGCAGCAGGUGGGGAAUCGUUGACGCAAGUCGGGACGAAAGCCUAGACGCAGCGAACGCCGACGGUGGGGAUGGAAGGUCCGUUUCGGGUACGUUAAACCCCC